RNAcentral lists this unclassified non-coding RNA (2029 nucleotides) under uncultured fungus. RNAcentral describes it as "sequence contains 18S rRNA gene, ITS1, 5.8S rRNA gene, ITS2, 28S rRNA gene". The stretch from base 874 to 2029 matches the Rfam family "Eukaryotic large subunit ribosomal RNA", at positions 1 to 961 of the family's 3401-position model. The record is from RNAcentral. Lineage: Eukaryota; Fungi.
GGAAGGAUCAUUACCACACCUAAAAACUUUCCACGUGAACUGUCGUUAUUUGUUGUGCGCUCUCUGCGGUGUCGGUGGCGUCUGCUGGCUUUGUUGCUGGCGGGUGCGAGCCGGAUGCGGAGGCUGAACGAAGGUCGAGUUGCUUUGCUCUCGGCUGACUUAUUUUUCAAACCCAAUACCAAACUUACUGAUUAUACUGUGAGAACGAAAGUUCUUGCUUUUAACUAGAUAACAACUUUCAGCAGUGGAUGUCUAGGCUCGCACAUCGAUGAAGAACGCUGCGAACUGCGAUACGUAAUGCGAAUUGCAGAAUUCAGUGAGUCAUCGAAAUUUUGAACGCAUAUUGCACUUCCGGGUUAUGCCUGGAAGUAUGUCUGUAUCAGUGUCCGUAAAUCAACCUUGCCUUUCUUCCUUCUGUGUAGUCAGUGGAGGAUGUGGCAGACGUGAAGUGUCUCGCUGUUGCUGGUUUGUGGUCAUUUUGGCUGCGAAUACAGUUUGCGAGUCCUUUUAAAUGGACACGACUUUCUCUUUUUUGUUUCUGCGAGGUGCUGUGCUCGAACGCGGUGGUUUUCGGAUCGCUCGCGGCAGUUGGCGACUUCGGUGAAUGCAUUAUGGAGUGGACCUCGAUUCGCGGUAUGUUGGGCUUCGGCUGGACAAUGUUGCUUAUUGUGUGUUUGUUCCGCGUUCGCCUUGAGGUGUACUUUCUGCUGUGUGCUUGAACUGGGAUCUGCUUUGUUAGUAGUGCGCGGUCAUCGUUAUUCGCGGAGACAUCUGUUGUUGCGCACGCAUUUUGUGUGUGUUUGAGCAGAAGAGAGGUUUGAAUUUGGGAAAUCAGUGUACUCUGGCCUUAAUUGGCGUGUGUACAUCUCAAUUGGACCUGAUAUCAGACAAGACUACCCGCUGAACUUAAGCAUAUUAAUAAGCGGAGGAAAAGAAACUAACCAGGAUUCCCCUAGUAACGGCGAGUGAAGCGGGAUGAGCUCAAGCUUAAAAUCUCUGUGCCAGUUUGGCAUGGCGAAUUGUAGUCUAUAGAGGCGUUGUCAGUGCAGCUGUGCGGGGUAAGUUCCUUGGAAGAGGACAGCAUCGAGGGUGAUACUCCCGUUUGUACCUGUGCGGCUUGCGCGUACGACACGUUUUCUUCGAGUCGCGUUGUUUGGGACUGCAGCGCAAAGUAGGUGGUAAAUUCCAUCUAAAGCUAAAUAUUGGUGCGAGACCGAUAGCGAACAAGUACCGUGAGGGAAAGAUGAAAAGAACUUUGAAAAGAGAGUUAAAGAGUACCUGAAACUGCUGAAAGGGAAGCGAAUCGUAUCCAGUGUCUAUAAUCUGCGGCAUAUUUCAUUGGCGGCGGUGCGCGUGCUUUUGCGUCGGAAGCGGCUUUUGUUGCUCUGUGCUUUUGCUGUGCGUGGUGUUGCUGGUGCCCUGUGUUGCGGUGGGACGUCAGAGUCAGUUUGUAUGCUGCGGGAAAUGGCUGCCGAGGAGGUAGGUCGAGAUUUCGGUCUUGGCUGUUAUAUCUUGGUGGUUUGUUGUCGUGGUUGAGACUGAGGUGCCUACAAUGUGCUUUUGAGUGUACCGGGUUCUCAUUUGGUGGACUGUUUGGAUAGCUUGCUAUGCUUGUGGUUUUUUCAUCGGGUGAUUGAGUCUGGUGGUAACUUAUUGCCGUUCGGGACUUUGACGAAAUGGAGCGAUUCGGCCCGUCUUGAAACACGGACCAAGGAGUCUAACAUGUGUGCAAGUGUUAGGGUGUGGAAACCCGAGCGCGUAAUGAAAGUAAAGGGUGGCUUUAGCUGCCUGAGGUAGGAAACCUUUGUUCUCAGAGGUGGCACUAUCGACCGAUCAAGAACCUUCGUGGUGAAAGAUUUGAGUAUGAGCACAUAUGUUGGUACCCGAAAGAUGGUGAACUAUGCCUGAGUAGGGUGAAGCCAGGGGAAACUCUGGUGGAAGCUCGUAGCGAUUCUGACGUGCAAAUCGAUCGUCAAACUUGGGUAUAGGGGCGAAAGACUAAUCGAACCAUCUAGUAGCUGGUUCCCUC